GUGGAGGUGGCCCAGCCUGGUAAGGCGCCAGACUGCUAAUCUGGUGUCCGUAGGACCCGGGGGUUCGAAUCCCUCCCUCCACGCCA
Molecule: transfer RNA, 86 nt
Filed under: Candidatus Methanomethylophilus alvi Mx1201
Lineage: Archaea; Methanobacteriati; Thermoplasmatota; Thermoplasmata; Methanomassiliicoccales; Methanomethylophilaceae
Also listed under: 2 other names
Description: tRNA-Ser (GCT) (tRNA-Ser-GCT-1-1)
Rfam family: tRNA
About the family: Transfer RNA (tRNA) molecules are approximately 80 nucleotides in length.
Source: RNAcentral